GAUGAACGCUGGCUACAGGCUUAACACAUGCAAGUCGAGGGGAAACGACGGGGAAGCUUGCUUCCCCGGGCGUCGACCGGCGCACGGGUGAGUAACGCGUAUCCAACCUGCCUCUGACUGAGGGAUAACCCGUCGAAAGUCGGCCUAAUACCUCAUGGUAUCGUCUGCGGGCAUCCAACGACGAUUAAAGAUUUCAUCGGUCAGGGAUGGGGAUGCGUCUGAUUAGCUUGUUGGCGGGGUAACGGCCCACCAAGGCUACGAUCAGUAGGGGUUCUGAGAGGAAGGUCCCCCACAUUGGAACUGAGACACGGUCCAAACUCCUACGGGAGGCAGCAGUGAGGAAUAUUGGUCAAUGGGCGAGAGCCUGAACCAGCCAAGUAGCGUGCAGGAAGACGGCCCUAUGGGUUGUAAACUGCUUUUAGGCGGGGAUAAAGUGAGGGACGUGUCCCUCAUUGCAGGUACCGAAUGAAUAAGGACCGGCUAAUUCCGUG
This 491-nucleotide ribosomal RNA is filed under the name uncultured bacterium. RNAcentral describes it as "partial 16S ribosomal RNA". It matches the Rfam family "Bacterial small subunit ribosomal RNA", at positions 28 to 507 of the family's 1533-position model. The record is from RNAcentral.